UACAGAGAGAGGCUGGCUCAUGAUGGCUAGUGUGACAGUUGGCGGCAGUUGAAGCAGCCAUCUUAGGUUAGAGGAUGAAGAGGGGAGUGGUGAUGCAGCUCCUCCCCUGGAAAGACAAGCAGUAAGCAGCCUACGAGGAAGCAGGCUCUCCCUCUGCAAUUAACAUAGACCUGGCAACCUCCACAGUGGAAGGGGACAGUGAGGCAUUGGUGAUUGCAGGAGCAAACAUCCCAGCUAAGCAAGCCCCUGUGAGAGAUACUGUCAUCAACUGAUGGACGCUUCAACUUUCUGAUAAAAAAUAGAAAAGGCUACAAAGAGAAAAAUGACAUUUUAACAAGGAUACCCAAUUACAUCAAAGGCAACCUCUCUUCUUCAAAACUUAAAAGAGAAAAUGUACUACCUGGCGCCUUAAUCCUUAUCUAAACAGAUGACAUACAAAGUCUUUUCUUACCCCCUAGGGCGGGGUAGAGAUUCCCCAUCUGAACAGAGCAAACAAGAUUUCUGCAAAUUUAGUGUAAAACUGAUGAACGGAAAUACAAAAUAACCAUUGUAACGCUGGUCUAGUUGGAACUAAAUAAAGUACUGUAUGGUGACCUGUCAGUUAAUACCACUAAAUAUUAUUUGAACUUCCUCAUAGUCAUUUAAAUUAAAGAGUUAAAAACUGUAUCAUUGUUUAAAAAAUAUAAAUACUUCAAAGCUGA
Long non-coding RNA from Pseudophryne corroboree (corroboree frog), 701 nucleotides. RefSeq lists it as uncharacterized. NCBI's taxonomy places the organism in Eukaryota, Metazoa, Chordata, Amphibia, Anura, Myobatrachidae. The transcript has 2 exons. The record is from RefSeq and is a predicted model, not a curated record.